GAUGAAGAACGCAGCGAAAUGCGAUACGUAAUGUGAAUUGCAGAAUUCAGUGAAUCAUCGAAUCUUUGAACGCAUAUUGCGCUCUUUGGUAUUCCGAAGAGCAUGCUUGUUUGAGUAUCAGUAAACACCUCAAAGCUUUUGGAUUUUUUAAUCGAAAAGCUUUGGACUUGAGCAAUCCCAACACCAAUCUUUUUGAGAUCGGUGGCGGGUUGCUUGAAAUGCAGGUGCAGCUGGACAUUCUCCUGAGCUAAAAGCAUAUUCAUUUAGUCCCGUCAAACGGAUUAUUACUUUUGCUGCAGCUAACAUAAAGGGAGUUUGACCGUAUUGGCUGACUGAUGCAGGAUUUCACAAGGGUCGGCAACGAUUCUUGUUAAACUCGAUCUCAAAUCAAGUAAGACUACCCGCUGAACUUAAGCAUAUCAAUAGCGGAGGA
Molecule: unclassified non-coding RNA, 433 nt
Filed under: soil metagenome
Description: partial contains 5.8S ribosomal RNA, internal transcribed spacer 2, and large subunit ribosomal RNA
Rfam family: 5.8S ribosomal RNA (bases 1-120)
Source: RNAcentral